Elgaria multicarinata webbii is the source of this 137-nucleotide small nucleolar RNA. The record is from RefSeq and is a predicted model, not a curated record. Lineage: Eukaryota; Metazoa; Chordata; Lepidosauria; Squamata; Anguidae.
UUGCAAACUCGAUCACUGGCUCUGCAUGCUGUGGCAGAAGCAAGGGGAACAGGUUUGCUAAAGUAAUUAUGGUAACAGAACAAUAAUGGUCUUAGAAAUAAUAAUACUAAGGCUGUUCAUUCUGUGCCAUAACAAUA